AAGCUCGUAGUUGGAUUUCGGUUGAGAGCGGCCGGUCCGCCGUUUGGUGUCCUUUUGCGGGUUUCAGCUUCCUGCAGAGGACGUUUUCUGGGGUUACUCGUCUGGACGUGGAGUCUGCGUGGUUACUUUGAAAAAAUUAGAGUGUUCAAAGCGGGCUUACGCUUGAAUAUUUCAGCAUGGAAUAACACUAUAGGACUCCUGUCCUAUUUCGUUGGUCUCGGGACGGGAGUAAUGAUUAAGAGGAACAGUUGGGGGCAUUCGUAUUUCAAUGUCAGAGGUGAAAUUCUUGGAUUUUUGAAAGACGAACUUCUGCGAAAGCAUUUGCCAAGGAUGUUUUCAUUAAUCAAGAACGAAAGCUGGGGGCUCGAAUAUGAUUAGAUACCAUCCUAGUCUCAACCAUAAACGAUGCCGACUAGGGAUUGGAGGAUGUUAAUUGAUGACUCCGUCAGCACCUUAUGAGAAUUCAAAGUUUU
This 473-nucleotide ribosomal RNA is filed under the name uncultured eukaryote. Its description in RNAcentral is "SSU rRNA". It matches the Rfam family "Eukaryotic small subunit ribosomal RNA", at positions 624 to 1107 of the family's 1831-position model. The record is from RNAcentral.